This is a long non-coding RNA of Numida meleagris (helmeted guineafowl), 2037 nucleotides long. RefSeq lists it as uncharacterized. NCBI's taxonomy places the organism in Eukaryota, Metazoa, Chordata, Aves, Galliformes, Numididae. The record is from RefSeq and is a predicted model, not a curated record. The transcript is spliced from 3 exons.
GCCCUGCCCUCAUGCCUCCUCCCCUCAGGGGCUGAGGUGGUGCCUCAGGGGAAACAGGCUGAAGAAAUGGCAGAAACGCUGCUUUUUGUUGUGUUUUGGCAGCAGAAAUGUGGGUUUUGUCUCUGAUUGACAGACCUUCGGGCACUACCUUAGGUUGCUGGGACCCCUGAGGCCUCUGGCUCAGCUGAAGGGAAGUGUUUGAGUGGGUUUCCAGUUUCAGAGCACUAGGCACCUCAGUGUGGAGCUGCGUGGGUUUGGCUCUUGGUUUCCUGUAAUCAUGUAGGAAACCCUCCCUAGUGUUAAUUCAUGGGAGUGAGAAUGUGUUUUGUCUAAGGAAAGAGGGAGAAAAGUUGCUUUGACAUUUGCAACUGGUAACAUAUUUUGCAAGACAAGCUGUUUUGACUAUGGGGUGUUCGAUAGGUUGAGCAAGUGUAGCAGAGUCACCCUUGGAAAAGGCAACCUGAAAGGACUGUCCCUGGGAGACAAAUCCUGAAUCUGGCAGCUAUCAAGCUACAGCUGUUGAAUAGGCUUCUAGGAAAAAUAACAGGACAGCGAGGCAGGGCUGACAGCUGAACUGGUACAGGUGGUGGAACGUGAUGCUGCCUCACCAGGAACUGCUAUGACCAUCAACCUCUCUUCAGCUGUAAAAGAAAAGUAAAGCAUGCCACAGAGCAGGCUUUGGAGUGAUAGGAACAAAGCUGAUUCGGGAGCCAAGCGCACUGGGAUACUUGCUGGGCCCUACUGAUAGGCGUGAUAUUUCAGCCUCCGCGCUAACUCCCGUGCUCCAAAUAUGCAGGGCCAGUUGUGCACGGCCCAGCGCCCGCGGGAGGCAGCACUCCUCCUGCCGACAUGCAGUGAAGCCCUCAGGAAUGGCCAAACCUCUGCAGAUGGCACAGGCUGCAGUGGCUUUGCCCAUAUGCAUCGUGGUGCCCGUGAUGCUGUAUGCUAGCUGUGCAGGAUGAGCUUUUGCAAAGUGAGUGGUGGGCAGCAGCAUCCUCAAGGGGGACACUCACCCUUUCACCGUGCUCACCCCUUUCAACGCAGAGAAGUGAUUCUUCUUUGCUACACUGGUACCAGCAUAUGAGCAAAACACAUAAAUGUUUUGAGCCUGAAGAAUGUGAGCCACCUUUACUGGCUAGUGUCCUUAAAGGGAAAUUGCAACGGUGUGUUUACUGCUUUUUAAUACUGAUCUAAAGAAUAAGUAUUUAUGCUUUAUUCCCUGCUGUUGUAAUUUGCAACAGGCCUCUUAAAUUUGAAGCAGGUACCAAUGCUCAAAUGCAACUUCCAGUUAUUUUUACUUUUAUGUGUACAAAGCAGAUAGCAAUGAUUUAUUGAGGAGGAAGAGGGAGAAGGCUAUAAAGCAUCACAAGGCAGUUUCAGAUGCCUGUGGUAAAAUGGCGGGGGCUCAACUCCUCCCCCUGUGUAUGCAGAGUUUUGUGGCUGGAGGACUCGACUCUCCCAUCUUCCAACUGAGACCUGUCACAAUGGAUUGCUUUUUUCUGAACCAGCAUAAACUGGGAGCAACUACACUGAUGUCAAGCCAGCUUGAGGCAUAGGGGACAAAGCCAAGGGAAGCAAAAAGGUAUAUUUCCAUGGGCUGUAACAAGUCCCAAGUGAGAGGAACUGGACCUUUUCUCUUAAAACAAGUUUGGUUUUUUUUGGCAAUCUGCCUUGGAUGCACCCCUUGGAUGCACCAGCAUGAUGAGGGUGCAGUGAUCUGAAGGAAGACCACAACCUUGGAUAUGCCUAUCUGACUUGUGAUCCAGCCUUGCCAGAAACCCUUUGGGGUGCAAGAGCAGCUUUCCGUGCUUCCCUUGCAAUGCUGCUGAAAGUAUGCAAACUUGCACUGGCAUCUGAAAAACACAAGGAGUGGAAAGAGACUACAGAUGGCUGAGGAUUUGCUGAUAGAGCUGCUUAUAAGUCAGGCUAACCCUCCUGGCAGGAGGAUUUACAUCAGGUGCUAGGAAAGCAACAUCGGUGCGAGGGAAAACCCCUGAUGCAAGGAGCUGUGCUGCUCUCCAGCACUGCCCCUCUGCU